Chinchilla lanigera (long-tailed chinchilla) is the source of this 3324-nucleotide long non-coding RNA. RefSeq lists it as uncharacterized. Lineage: Eukaryota; Metazoa; Chordata; Mammalia; Rodentia; Chinchillidae. The transcript has 8 exons. The record is from RefSeq and is a predicted model, not a curated record.
ACUGCCUCGCAACCAAACACCCCGGAAGCAGAGCCUUUCCCAGCCAGCCUGUGCCUCUGCUCACAGACGUCUCACCAGCCCCCGACGUGGAAAGGCUGAUGACCUGAGGACCAGUCACCCACGCAAGAGAGAAUGUUUCUCUGGAAAGCUGGCAAAGCAAAGAUGGGGCGCCUGCCAACAAAGACCACCCUGAGGGACCCAGUGCUGGAGAUGGAACCUGGGGCCUCACACAUGCUCAGCAAGCAUUUGACCGCUAAGCUAUACUCCUAGUCCUCUAUAAUUUGGAGACGGGUCUCACUAAGCGGCCUACUUGAGAAGUAUGAAAUCCAGUUGGGAUGUGGGAAAACCUCUGCAUCCUGGUCCUGUCCCCACGGCACUCAGGGCCACCACAGCUCCUUCAAAGUGGAUGCCAGGAGCCACUCACCAGGGCAGCAUCUCUGCUCCUUUCGACUCGGCUGGGGUCAGUUUGGGGCGCCAAGGGAAAAAAGCAUCUUACCGCUUAGCUACCAAGGGGACCUCGCCAAGAUGGGAAACUUUUGAAAAGUCAACGUGCAGAAUGAGAGAAAAUAUUUGCAAGCCACGUAUCUGAUAAGGGAUGAGUCUCUAGAACUUAGAAGGAGCCUUUGAAGCUGAACACCAGAGAGGCUGACACCCAAUUCAAAAGCCAAGGACCGAACAGGCAUUUCUCUAAAGAAGUGCGCAAGUGGACAGAAGCACGCAGCAGAGAUGUUUGACGUUAUGAGUCCCAGACAACGCAGUUCCAAGCGGCGCCCUCCAGGGUGGCUGGAAUAGAAAUAAAAAAGAAAGGGAAAGAGAGAAGCGGCACGCUCUGUGGGGAACGUGCGCCAGCCUGAACCCGCACAUUGCGGUAAGGACGUAAAACGGUGCGGCUGUGACGAAGGCAGUCGGUGGCUCCUCAAACGGUCCAGCGCAGAAUUAUCUUUUGGUCCAGGCGUUCCACUUAGGCACGUAAAAACGUGCGCAUGCGUGUUUACAGCUGCAUGGUUCAUAACCCUCUCCAAAAUAGGAACAGCUCCAUCAGCUGGUGAGAAGACAGCAGAAUGUGGUGUACGAGCAUUCAGUGGGAUCCUACUCAGCUAGAAAAAGGAACGAAUCUCUGACCCUUUGCUGAACAUGAUGAGCCUUGGAAACACACACUGAAAGAAGCCAAACACAGAGGACAGCAUGUUAUGUGCUCCAUGUACACGAAAUAUCCGGAACUGGCAAUUACACAGAGGCAGAAAUGACCUUGUGGGGCUGACAGUGGAUUGUUUUAGAGAGGGAAACUGAGACAAGAAGUGGGUUCAGCUGUGCCUCAGCUGAGGCCCUGACUCGGGCAGCUGUGGCUGGGCUGGCCCAGGAGCGGAACUGGAUCUAGCUAUUGUGGCUCAGAGGCCGCCGAAGAGCCAGAGAGGACCCCACUCCGUGGCUUCCCUGGAAGUCACACAGCAGGAUUCACUGCCUGCUGGCUCAGCCCUGAUGUGGGCAGGGAGGCAGCUACGAUCAGGUUGGCUGUGAACUUCUGGCCUCAGGUGAUCCUUCUGCCUCAGCCUGGCAAGCAGCUGAGACCACAGGUUGCUGGUUUCCUGUGUUCCAUUUAGUACCAUGCUUCUCGUGGGUGACUUUGCUGUUUACAAUUGACCCAGGCCUAGGGCUGUGGUGCUGCCCAGUGUCCCUGAGCAUAGAAGGCUGUGAUGUUCCUCCGGGAGAAGACACUUCUCAGGUGAACUUCAAUCUGGCGUGCAGUGUGGUGCAGCGUCCGGGAGUUCCUUGUUAAUGAGUCAACCCUCUAUCUAGCAAGAAGAAGAGGAAAUAGGCCAGUCUGUGCAUGAGGCUGAUUGAAAGUGCCUGAUUUCCCCUAGGAACAAUAGUCCUGUAUUUGCUACUGUGAUAACAAGAACUGACUCUAUGGAAGUGGCUUCCGGAUUGUGUGUCAUUCUUAAAAGGCCUCCUCACUUAAAUGUUUCAGAAAAUGACACUAUUUCGUUUUCAUCUAUCUCUUAGUCCUAGGCUCCAAGUCUCCUCUCCAGGCAGCCUCUCCCUGCUUCCCUAGGUAAAUGAUGCUCACCAGGCAGGCUGUCUUGUGACAUCGUCAUUUUCUGUUGUGAUUGGUAGACCAGGUGCACAGCGGAGCCGACAGGUAACUGAUGAAGGCCUUGUGUCCGCACGGGUACAUCUUCGGUCGGAAAGAGCCUGGCACUUCCAAGACAGGCACAGGCAAUUGGGAUUGAUGCUGCUGGAAAAACCCCACAAGUCAGGCAGGUGGCAUUCACUGUUGAGUGGAAAAACCCUCCCCUGCACACAGGGAGAAUAGUGCGGUACCCGCUUCUCAUGGGGACUCUGGUGCUCCAAUUGCCGGGUGGCAUGGGGCCCUGCUGGGUGCAAAUUGGAAGUUUAGGGCAGAGAGACCACUGUCAGCCCAGGUGUGAGUCAUCCCUGCUCUGUCAGAUGGGAGGACAGCGCAGCCAUCGUCAGAACUGCCCUGGAGAGCAAGUGUAGGCACUGCCCCGGGAUGUGCCAUGCCCACCCAGGAGGUGCCAGCUCCAGCCACUGCCCGGUUCCUUUCCACUCUAUCUGUGGACUCUACCAGUCUGUAUCCUGAGCAUAUCCAUCACUGAUCAGCCCCAGAAUCUCCUUGUACAACAGGGAGAGGAGGACUUGCCCCUGGCAAACUGGGUGGCCCUUUCCACUCGGUAGCCAUUCCUUUUGUUUUAGUAGGGCCUUCUGGGAAAGCCAGGGCAAGAAAGCAGUUGUGUCCCAGCCAAGGCAGGAGUUUUCCCGGAGUCAGGUGAGAGCAACUCACAAAGCCUGUUCCCCUGUGCUGUCCCAGACACAUACUUUGCUCUCUCAGCAGCAGCAGCAAAAGCUAACAUGUUUCGAGGUCUUCCUGGGCUGCUAAGAACUUCCUCACCCAGAGGCUCUCUCACAGCCUUGGAAGGAGGGCACUUCCACUGUCCUGUUGCCUAAUUAUAAAACUGCAGCUCACAGAUGUUAACAAAUGCAUAAGUUCAAGUCAUGGCUAACAGGACUUGAGUCAGGUCUAUGGGCCUCCAAAUCCAAAGCUGCGCUGUGCACGCUCUCCCCUUUGGCCUUCUUAUUUAUCUGAUGGUUUUGCCAGGGAGUCUAUCCGCACUCUUUUUUGUGAAGACCCAGGCCAGGUGUUAGGGGGAACCGCCUCUUCUCGGAAGAGAAAGCGAAGUGCACGGAGUGGAACUGUCUGUUGGCAGCCUGUUGGUGUGUUUCCUUCUAAUCCUACCCAUUGUCACUUCCCAUUAUCUCUAAUCACUUCCUUUUGCCAUUAUAAAACUCUACAAAUACCAUUUA